RNAcentral lists this ribosomal RNA (325 nucleotides) under uncultured eukaryote. RNAcentral's name for it is "partial 18S ribosomal RNA". It matches the Rfam family "Eukaryotic small subunit ribosomal RNA", at positions 1470 to 1796 of the family's 1831-position model. The record is from RNAcentral.
CCCUUAGAUGUUCUGGGCCGCACGCGCGCCACACUGAUGCAUUCAACGAGCCUAUCCUUGACCGACAGGUCCGGGUAAUCUUUGAAUCUGCAUCGUGACGGGGAUAGAUUAUUGCAAUUAUUAAUCUUCAACGAGGAAUGCCUAGUAGGCGCAAGUCAUCAGCUUGCGUCGAUUGCGUCCCUGCCCUUUGUACACACCGCCCGUCGCUCCUACCGAUUGGGUGUGCUGGUGAAAUGUUCGGAUCGGCCGUUUGUCGCGGUUUCCGCGUCAUGUGGCUGAGAAGUUCAUUAAACCCUCCCACCUAGAGGAAGGAGAAGUCGUAACA